AGUCCAAGAGUUGGUGAAAGGCCUUUGUAGUGUAGCUGGUUUCAUCUGAGGUCCAUCAUGACGUUUUUUCUGAAAAUCAAAAAACAAACAACAAAAAACAGUUGUAUCUAUACAUCAAUGCAAAAACCAACACGUGCGUGCAAAUUCACCACAGAAGAAAUUGUUCCAUUCGACGAGCCAAUCACCAGCUAGAUUGCCUUAAAUGGAAAAUAGUGUGUAAGUCAUAACUUGUGUGAGAAGGACGUGUGAAGCUGCCUUUCAGCCCCGGGUCAUCAUCAGACAUGGACGGACUGUGGAUUAUUCUCGUUGCUCUCUCAGGAGUUGUUUCCUCCAGUCAUGGUUGGAUUUCUUUACCAACACUGGAGGUGACAGUCAGACCUGGAGACAACAUCACUCUCUACUGUGACUGCAGAAGACCAUCUGGAGCCUCCACACUGUGGUUCAGGAACUGUUCCCAUGAAAACCAGCCUACUCUUGUUCUAGAUUCAACAGAUCAGAAACUGUGGACUCCUGCAGACAAACUAGUAUGUCCUUGUUUCGAAUUUGUUAAGAACUUUUCCACUGAUUCCUAUGACCUGCUGAUCAGGAGCAUUACUGAUUCAGAUGAAGGUCUCUACUACUGUGGAAUUAAAAAAGCAAUUGUGGAGGAUAGAGAAUACAUCACUACUAGACAUGUUUACAGAUACGGCAACAUCACCACAAGGCUUAUAGUUGCCUCUGUCGUUAACAAGGUAACUGCUGCGCUGGAGUUUAUCCCUGAUCCGAAGCCCUGAGAGACUCCAGUGAACCUCAAGGAGACGUCCACGACACCAUGGAAGACUGCAGUCUGUGCUGGAAGCUGCUCUUCUCUCUGUGUCCGUCUGUUGCCAUUCUCUCCUCCAUGUUCAUUUUACAGCUCUGUCGGGAAACAGCCAAACGUCUUCAAGUUGAUGAGAGAAAAAUUGACACCGGAGGCCAGAUACCACCCAUUCAGGAUGAAGAUGAGUUUCAUGCUGCGCUGGAACUCCAUCAGGCAACACAGAGACCAAAGAGGAUGAAGAUCUGGAGCUCUGACAUAACGGUCUGCACCUACUCUGUCAUCAGAACCUCUGACCUAACCAUGUAAUAUUAGAAACAACACAAUGAACCGAUAACAGGGGCCACAUAUUGUAAAUGGAUCCUCUUUGGAGGAAACAUAAUUAGCAGGCAGGGUGUCUCUUUCCAUUCUUUAUGAUGCUCAGACUUAGCUGCCUAGCUUCCAACCAACUUCCUGCCGUCAUGACUCUGAUGUUUCAUGAUCGUGUUUUGAGUUUCCUGUUUUAUUUUGUUAAGUUCCUUGGUUUCCUGUUUUGUGUUGUUGCCUGUGUUCUCUUUCCUUGAUUGCUUAUUAGUUUGGAUUCCUGACAUCUUUUAAAGACACAGAAUCAGAAGAAAAGAGAUCACAACACUCUGGUUUCAGCAGAUCACUUCUGACUCCCAGUGUGUGUUUUAGAAUUGAUUUUAAGCUCUUAUUGAUCACUUACUACACAUUACUGACCUUUUAGCACCACACAGGCUGAUACGUACCUUAAGAUCCUCAGGCUGAGGUCUGCUGUCUGUUCCAGGGGCCUGGCUGAAAACAAAAGGUUGUUCUUGGUUAGGGCCCCUCGUCUGUGGAAGAAUCAGCCUGAGGAAAUUAGGUCACUAUAGUCUGUGAUCUCCUUUGAUCUGCUACUUAAGACAUACUGUUAGCAGAGAGUGUUUCCUGUUUUUUAGUUGUGUAUAAAGUGAGUUUAAAUUUUUUAUAUAUGCCUGUUUUUAAAAUUGCAGAUUUUUAUGUUGCUGUGAAGCUGUUUAAAGUGUUGACUUGAUUAUCAUCAUCAUUUUAUUAUCCAAUAUUUUAAUACUCUGUAUUGUUUCUGAUGUGCUUCACUGUGUUAUUAUCCUGUCAUAAUUGAAUUCAUGUGGCAAUAAAUCAGAUCCACCUUUACA
RNA transcript from Mugil cephalus (flathead mullet), 1950 nucleotides. RefSeq lists it as uncharacterized. Lineage: Eukaryota; Metazoa; Chordata; Actinopteri; Mugiliformes; Mugilidae. The record is from RefSeq and is a predicted model, not a curated record. The transcript has 6 exons.